RNA transcript from Morus notabilis, 2168 nucleotides. It is a transcript of the gene named plant intracellular Ras-group-related LRR protein 1, with no coding region annotated. NCBI's taxonomy places the organism in Eukaryota, Viridiplantae, Streptophyta, Magnoliopsida, Rosales, Moraceae. The record is from RefSeq and is a predicted model, not a curated record. The transcript is spliced from 4 exons.
AAAAAAAGAAUCAGAUCAUUUUUCAUCGGACUAUCCCUGAAAAAUCAUCGAUCUUGAAGAAGAAUUCCCUCUGAAAGCCUCUCUUUUCCAAAAAUGGAUCCGAACCCGAAAACCUUCCCAAUCCUCUCCUACGUCAUGGGCCGCCUCCCGACCUUCCGGACCAAGCCACCAGCAGGAUCCGACCCGGGUUCCUUCGACAUCGAGCAGCCUCCGUCGCCGCCGUCGAAACCUCCCUCUGAUCCGUCGUCGUCGUCGAUGGCGACUCAGCUCCAGAUAUUCGACGAACUGCCUCGCCUGACCGACCCGAAGCUCCUGGCGUCCAUGACACGGGCUGUGGCCGACGUGGCGCAGACCCGAUCGGUGCUCCGGACGAUCGGCGAUCGGCCCGACCACGAGGCGGUGGAUGCCGCUAGGGCUAAGCUGGCGGACAUCGAGGCGAAUUUGGCGAAGCAGCUGGAGGAGUUGGUGCUGUCGCCGCGGCCGGCGGAGGUCGAACGUGGCCAGUGGCGGGCGCAGCUGGCGGAGAAGGAGAGCGAGUGCAGGCGGUCGGCAGAGAAGGAGAAAGAGAUUUACAAGGCUGUGAUUCAGCUGGACGAGAUGCACGAGGCGUACGAGAAGCUUCUGAAGGACGCGGAGGAGAGGCUGGUGAAGAUUUACGACUCGGCGGAGGGCGAGGAGUCGGCGGUGGACGGGGAUGAGGUGAACGAGGAGGUGGUGGGGAUUUUGAAGGAAGCUUCUGGAACGGAAUUGGAGCGCGUCGAUCUCUCCGGCCGGCAGUUGAGGUUCUUGCCGGAGGCGUUUGGGAGGAUUCGUGGAUUGCGAGUGCUUAAUGUCUCCAGCAAUCAACUUGAGGUAAUUCCUGAUUCAAUAGCUGGAUUGGAAAAUCUUGAGGAGCUCAAUGCCUCUUCCAAUCUUUUGCUGUUUCUGCCAGACUCGAUUGGCUUGUUGCAAAGAUUGAAGAUUCUGAAUGUCUCUGGAAACAAGCUUAACUGCCUUCCUGAUACCAUUAGCCAUUGCAGGGCCUUGGUGGAGUUGGAUGCGAGCUUCAACAGCCUGACGUACUUGCCAACGAACAUUGGUUAUGAAUUGGUUAAUCUAGAGAGACUUUCAAUCCAACUAAAUAAGAUUCGUUCACUUCCUACUUCUGUUUGUGAGAUGAGAUCUUUGCGCUAUUUGGAUGCUCAUUUCAAUGAGAUCCGUGGCCUGCCGCUUGCAAUUGGGAAGUUAACAAAGCUUGAAGUUCUCAAUCUGAGCAGUAAUUUCAGCGACUUGACAGAACUUCCUGACACUAUCGGUGAUCUAACCAAUCUCAGGGAACUUGAUCUCAGCAACAACCAAAUUCAUGCCCUUCCCUAUACAUUUGGUCGACUUGACAACUUGACUAAACUCAACUUGGAGCAGAAUCCGCUUGUUAUCCCGCCUAUUGAGGUAGUGAAUGAAGGGGUUGAAGCCGUCAAACUUUUCAUGGCUAAGAGGUGGAUCGAGAUACUCGUCGAAGAAGAAAGGAGCAUGCUUGAAGUACAGGAACAAGCACAAACCAGCUGGUUGACUCGCAGCACUUCUUGGUUGAAAGGUUAUGUUUCAGGUGUUUCUGAAUAUCUGUCAACUCCAAAACCUCCUAGAGAUUCCUAUCUUGAUCAGCAGCUAUAAUUUGACCUCUCAACGAUCUUUUUUGAGUUUUCACUAUCCCUUUCUGGCAUGUUCACUUGUUAAAUAUUGAAGGACGAGUUUCUGCUCCAAUACUGCACUUCGCCUCCGCUCCUAUAUUAGGUUCGGAUACGUUCAUUUUUCACAAGUUUGCCAUUUUUUUUUUCCCUUUAGUCCAAUUCUUCCGUUAUGUAGCAAAAAAACAAAAAGAUGAAUACUUGCUUGUGAUUGUAGUUGAACAGUUAUAGUUUGUGCAUCCAAGUGAAUUUGGAUCAUCCAAUUUUGUCACCAACCCAGAUUCAAGCAUCUAAAGACGUGAAAAAGUGAUCGCAGCUAUGGAAUAUCCUAUCAAUAAAUGCUCUUCUAGAGAAGAAUUAUAAAACGGGAAUACACGAAUCAUCACAUUUACACGUCAAAAGCAGAUAACAAUAACACUCCGUCUGAUAAGAAGGAAAGCAUGUGGGAGGGAAAGAAAAAUUAUAAGGGGAUAAAAUUAAGGGAGUUUUUUUAGUAGUCUCUGG